GUAGGUGAACCUGCGGAAGGAUCAUUACCGUGGGGCUUCAGCCCCAUUGGGAUAGCACCCUUUGUUUAUGAGUACCCUUGUUUCCUCGGCGGGCUUGCCCGCCAUGAGGACCAAAAAAACCCUUUGUAGUAGUAGUAACUUCAGUUAAUAAUAAAUAUUAAAACUUUCAACAACGGAUCUCUUGGUUCUG
This 190-nucleotide unclassified non-coding RNA is filed under the name rhizosphere metagenome. RNAcentral describes it as "partial ribosomal RNA internal transcribed spacer region". The record is from RNAcentral.